This 88-nucleotide non-coding RNA is filed under the name Florenciella parvula. Lineage: Eukaryota; Dictyochophyceae; Florenciellales. The record is from RNAcentral.
AUAUAUAUAUAUUUUUAUUUUUAAUUAUUUAAUUUUUUUAUUUUUUUUUCCAAUUCCACAUUCGAAAUCCAUAAGAAAUCCAUAAGAC